GAUGAAGAACGCAGCGAAAUGCGAUAAGUAGUGUGAAUUGCAGAAUUCAGUGAAUCAUCGAAUCUUUGAACGCAUAUUGCGCCUGCCGGUAUUCCGGCAGGCAUGCCUGUCCGAGCGUUAUUUCUCUUAGUCGCGCGGCAGAGCCGCGCGGCCUUGGGGUGUCCCUGCGAGGGAGCCCUCAAAGCUACUCUGCCGUAGACGACUCAGCGCCGGAGUGUUGCAAAAUACCCAGCUCCACCUGCGUCGGCUGCGCUGCUGUGUACGCGAGCCCUCGGGCCGCACUUCUCUAUUUAACCUCGGAUCAGGUAGGAACACCCGCUGAACUUAAGCAUAUCAAUAAGCGGAGGA
Molecule: unclassified non-coding RNA, 348 nt
Filed under: soil metagenome
Description: partial contains 5.8S ribosomal RNA, internal transcribed spacer 2, and large subunit ribosomal RNA
Rfam family: 5.8S ribosomal RNA (bases 1-120)
Source: RNAcentral